Molecule: ribosomal RNA, 445 nt
Filed under: uncultured bacterium
Lineage: Bacteria
Description: partial 16S ribosomal RNA
Rfam family: Bacterial small subunit ribosomal RNA
Source: RNAcentral
GUGAGGAAUAUUGGACAAUGGGCGCAAGCCUGAUCCAGCCAUGCCGCGUGCAGGAAGACGCAUCUAUGGUGUGUAAACUGCUUUUGUACGGGAAGAAACACUCCCUCGUGAGGGAGCUUGACGGUACCGUAAGAAUAAGGAUCGGCUAACUCCGUGCCAGCAGCCGCGGUAAUACGGAGGAUCCAAGCGUUAUCCGGAAUCAUUGGGUUUAAAGGGUCCGUAGGCGGUUUAAUAAGUCAGUGGUGAAAGCCCAUCGCUCAACGAUGGAACGGCCAUUGAUACUGUUAGACUUGAAUUACAAGGAAGUAACUAGAAUAUGUAGUGUAGCGGUGAAAUGCUUAGAUAUUACAUGGAAUACCAAUUGCGAAGGCAGGUUACUACUUGUGGAUUGACGCUGAUGGACGAAAGCGUGGGGAGCGAACAGGAUUAGAAGCCCCGGUAGUCC